GACGAACGCUGGCGGCGUGCCUAAUACAUGCAAGUCGAACGAAGCUGUUUUAACAGGUGCUUGCACCGACUUAAACAACUGAGUGGCGAACGGGUGAGUAACACGUGGGUAACCUGCCCCAAAGCGGGGGAUAACAUUUGGAAACAGAUGCUAAUACCGCAUAACCACAGAAACCACAUGGUUUCUGUGUCAAAGAUGGUUUCGGCUAUCACUUUGGGAUGGACCCGCGGCGUAUUAGCUAGUUGGUAAGGUAAUGGCUUACCAAGGCAAUGAUACGUAGCCGAACUGAGAGGUUGAUCGGCCACAUUGGGACUGAGACACGGCCCAAACUCCUACGGGAGGCAGCAGUAGGGGAUCUUCCACAAUGGACGAAAGUCUGAUGGAGCAACGCCGCGUGAGUGAAGAAGGUUUUCGGAUCGUAAAACUCUGUUGUCAGAGAAGAACGUGUGCGAGAGUAACUGCUCGUGCAGUGACGGUAUCUGGCCAGAAAGCCACGGCUAACUACGUGCCAGCCGCCGCGGUAA
RNAcentral lists this ribosomal RNA (524 nucleotides) under uncultured bacterium. RNAcentral's name for it is "partial 16S ribosomal RNA". It matches the Rfam family "Bacterial small subunit ribosomal RNA", at positions 28 to 523 of the family's 1533-position model. The record is from RNAcentral.